Molecule: ribosomal RNA, 253 nt
Filed under: uncultured bacterium
Lineage: Bacteria
Description: partial 16S ribosomal RNA
Rfam family: Bacterial small subunit ribosomal RNA
Source: RNAcentral
GACGUAGGGCGCGAGCGUUGUCCGGAUUUAUUGGGCGUAAAGAGCUCGUAGGCGGCUUGUCGCGUCGUCCGUGAAAACCUGCAGCUCAACUGCAGGCUUGCGGUCGAUACGGGCAGGCUAGAGUUCGGUAGGGGAGACUGGAAUUCCUGGUGUAGCGGUGAAAUGCGCAGAUAUCAGGAGGAACACCGGUGGCGAAGGCGGGUCUCUGGGCCGAUACUGACGCUGAGGUGCGAAAGCGUGGGGAGCGAACAGG